UGGAGAGUUUGAUCCUGGCUCAGGACGAACGCUGGCGGCGUGCUUAACACAUGCAAGUCGAGCGGAAAGGCCCCUUCGGGGGUACUCGAGCGGCGAACGGGUGAGUAACACGUGAGCAACCUGCCCCUGACUCUGGGAUAAGCCUGGGAAACUGGGUCUAAUACCGGAUAUGACCAGCCUCCGCAUGGUGUGUUGGUGGAAAGUUCUUCGGUUGGGGAUGGGCUCGCGGCCUAUCAGCUUGUUGGUGGGGUGAUGGCCUACCAAGGCGACGACGGGUAACCGGCCUGAGAGGGCGACCGGUCACACUGGGACUGAGACACGGCCCAGACUCCUACGGGAGGCAGCAGUGGGGAAUAUUGCGCAAUGGGCGGAAGCCUGACGCAGCGACGCCGCGUGGGGGAUGACGGCCUUCGGGUUGUAAACCUCUUUCAGCAGGGACGAAGCUUACGUGACGGUACCUGCAGAAGAAGCGCCGGCUAACUACGUGCCAGCAGCCGCGGUAAUACGUAGGGCGCAAGCGUUGUCCGGAAUUAUUGGGCGUAAAGAGCUCGUAGGCGGUUUGUCGCGUCUGUCG
RNAcentral lists this ribosomal RNA (574 nucleotides) under Actinomadura bangladeshensis. RNAcentral's name for it is "bacterial SSU rRNA". It matches the Rfam family "Bacterial small subunit ribosomal RNA", at positions 1 to 594 of the family's 1533-position model. Lineage: Bacteria; Bacillati; Actinomycetota; Actinomycetes; Streptosporangiales; Thermomonosporaceae. The record is from RNAcentral.